Molecule: ribosomal RNA, 494 nt
Filed under: uncultured bacterium
Lineage: Bacteria
Description: partial 16S ribosomal RNA
Rfam family: Bacterial small subunit ribosomal RNA
Source: RNAcentral
ACGAACGCUGGCGGCGUGCCUAAUACAUGCACGUAGAACGCUGAAGGAGGAGCUUGCUUCUCUGGAUGAGUUGCGAACGGGUGAGUAACGCGUAGGUAACCUGCCUGGUAGUGGGGGAUAACUAUUGGAAACGAUAGCUAAUACCGCAUAAUAGCAGUUGUUGCAUGAUAACUGUUUGAAAGGUGCAAUUGCACCGCUACCAGAUGGACCUGCGUUGUAUUAGCUAGUUGGUGGGGUAACGGCUCACCAAGGCGACGAUACAUAGCCGACCUGAGAGGGUGAUCGGCCACACUGGGACUGAGACACGGCCCAGACUCCUACGGGAGGCAGCAGUAGGGAAUCUUCGGCAAUGGACGGAAGUCUGACCGAGCAACGCCGCGUGAGUGAAGAAGGUUUUCGGAUCGUAAAGCUCUGUUGUAAGAGAAGAACGAGUGUGAGAGUGGAAAGUUCACACUGUGACGGUAUCUUACCAGAAAGGGACGGCUAACUACGUG